RNAcentral lists this ribosomal RNA (484 nucleotides) under uncultured bacterium. Its description in RNAcentral is "partial 16S ribosomal RNA". It matches the Rfam family "Bacterial small subunit ribosomal RNA", at positions 30 to 507 of the family's 1533-position model. The record is from RNAcentral.
AUUGAACGCUGGCGGCAGGCCUAACACAUGCAAGUCGAGCGGAUGAAGGGAGCUUGCUCCUGGAUUCAGCGGCGGACGGGUGAGUAAUGCCUAGGAAACUGCCUGGUAGUGGGGGAUAACGUCCGGAAACGGGCGCUAAUACCGCAUACGUCCUGAGGGAGAAAGUGGGGGAUCUUCGGACCUCACGCUAUCAGAUGAGCCUAGGUCGGAUUAGCUAGUUGGUGGGGUAAAGGCCUACCAAGGCGACGAUCCGUAACUGGUCUGAGAGGAUGAUCAGUCACACUGGAACUGAGACACGGUCCAGACUCCUACGGGAGGCAGCAGUAGGGAAUAUUGGACAAUGGGCGAAAGCCUGAUCCAGCCAUGCCGCGUGUGUGAAGAAGGUCUUCGGAUUGUAAAGCACUUUAAGUUGGGAGGAAGGAAAGUAAGUUAAUCCCUUGCUGUUUUGACGUUACCAACAGAAUAAGCCCCGGCUAACUUCGUG